RNAcentral lists this ribosomal RNA (253 nucleotides) under uncultured bacterium. RNAcentral's name for it is "partial 16S ribosomal RNA". It matches the Rfam family "Bacterial small subunit ribosomal RNA", at positions 524 to 776 of the family's 1533-position model. The record is from RNAcentral.
UACGUAGGGGGCUAGCGUUGUCCGGAAUUAUUGGGCGUAAAGAGCUCGUAGGCGGUUUGUCGCGUCUGCUGUGAAAGACCGGGGCUCAACUCCGGUUCUGCAGUGGGUACGGGCAGACUAGAGUGCAGUAGGGGAGAUUGGAAUUCCUGGUGUAGCGGUGGAAUGCGCAGAUAUCAGGAGGAACACCGAUGGCGAAGGCAGCUCGCUGGGACGGUACUGACGCUGAGGCGCGAAAGCGUGGGGAGCAAACAGG